UAGUGCUAAUAGAAUGUCUCCAAAGCUGGACUGACAUAAAGGGGGGGGGGGGGGGGCGGAAAUACCUUUCCCUUCUAGUUGUGAGAAACUUCCUCUUGGUUCCUGGGAGGAGGGAUCUCUUGGUGUUGACACACAUUAGCCAUCUUGGCACAAACACCUUGUCUUGUGGGAAAAACUAAAAUUCCUUUUUAUGGCCUUUUCUCCCUCUCCACUUUAAGCAUAGACUUUGGCUGUCUUAAGCCCAGAGACCUAUUGGGACCUGGCCCCCCAAAAAAUUGAUUUCCAGUAUGUUGGACAAUCUGGACUUUCCAGUGUCACCACGGAGAUGGCAUGCAUCCUUCAAAAGAGCAGCAGAUCGGCAGAGCGUCG
Pipistrellus kuhlii (Kuhl's pipistrelle) is the source of this 369-nucleotide long non-coding RNA. RefSeq lists it as uncharacterized. The record is from RefSeq and is a predicted model, not a curated record. The transcript is spliced from 3 exons. NCBI's taxonomy places the organism in Eukaryota, Metazoa, Chordata, Mammalia, Chiroptera, Vespertilionidae.